AGCUUGCUCUUAUGAAGUUAGCGGCGGACGGGUGAGUAACACGUGGGUAACCUGCCCAUAAGACUGGGAUAACUCCGGGAAACCGGGGCUAAUACCGGAUAACAUUUUGAACCGCAUGGUUCGAAAUUGAAAGGCGGCUUCGGCUGUCACUUAUGGAUGGACCCGCGUCGCAUUAGCUAGUUGGUGAGGUAACGGCUCACCAAGGCAACGAUGCGUAGCCGACCUGAGAGGGUGAUCGGCCACACUGGGACUGAGACACGGCCCAGACUCCUACGGGAGGCAGCAGUAGGGAAUCUUCCGCAAUGGACGAAAGUCUGACGGAGCAACGCCGCGUGAGUGAUGAAGGCUUUCGGGUCGUAAAACUCUGUUGUUAGGGAAGAACAAGUGCUAGUUGAAUAAGCUGGCACCUUGACGGUACCUAACCAGAAAGCCACGGCUAACUACGUGCCAGCAGCCGCGGUAAUACGUAGGUGGCAAGCGUUAUCCGGAAUUAUUGGGCGUAAAGCGCGCGCAGGUGGUUUCUUAAGUCUGAUGUGAAAGCCCACGGCUCAACCGUGGAGGGUCAUUGGAAACUGGGAGACUUGAGUGC
Molecule: ribosomal RNA, 589 nt
Filed under: Bacillus paramycoides
Lineage: Bacteria; Bacillati; Bacillota; Bacilli; Caryophanales; Bacillaceae
Description: bacterial SSU rRNA
Rfam family: Bacterial small subunit ribosomal RNA
Source: RNAcentral